UUGUGACCUGUUGCGCCAGUCACAGCUGUGCACCGCCUCCCAUAGCACUGCUUCCCGUGGCACUGCCUCCCACACAGACCCUAUCUACAAGCACUGCAGCCUGUUUCCCAGCCUCAGGAUGGAUGUCCAGGAAACCUCCAAGUUGCUGGAUGAAGAGCUGUACUCUCGGCAGCUGUAUGUGUUGGGUUUGCCAGCCAUGGAGAGGAUUCAGGGAGCCAAGGUGCUGCUGUCAGGCCUUCAGGGCCUGGGGGCUGAGAUAGCCAAAAACUUGGUCCUGAUGGGAAUAGGCAGCCUCACUCUUCAUGAUCCCCACCCUACCUGCUGGUCUGACCUGGCUGCCCAGUUUUUCCUCUCAGAGCAGGACUUAGGAAGGAGCAGGGCUGAGGCAUCUCAAGAACUUCUGGCUAAGCUCAAUGGAGCUGUUCAGGUGUGCAUCCACAAGGGUGACAUCACCGAGGAUCUGCUGCUGCACUUCCAGGUGGUAGUGCUGACUGCCCUGAAGCUGGAGGAGCAGCUGAAGGUGGGCAGCUUCUGCCACAAGCAUGGAAUCUGCUUUCUGGUAGCUGAUACCCGAGGCCUCGUUGGGCAGCUGUUCUGCGACUUUGGUGAGAACUUCACUGUGCAGGAGCCAACAGAGGCAGAACCCCUGACAGCUGCCAUCCAGCAUAUUUCUCAGGGCUCCCCUGGCAUUCUCACUCUGAGAGAACAGGCUGAUGCCCAUCACUUCCACAACGGGGAUUUGGUGACUUUCUCUGGCAUUGAAGGCAUGGUGGAGCUCAACAACUGUGCUCCUUGGCCUCUCCGCGUGCGGGAGGACGGGACCUUGGAGAUUGAGGACACAUCCACCUUCUCUCGUUACUUGCGUGGUGGAGUUAUCACUGAGGUUAAGAAAUCCAAGACUGUGAGCCAUGAGCCCCUGGACGUAGCCCUGCUCCAGCCCCGUGUGGUGGCCCAGAGUUCCCAGGAAGUUCACCGGGCCCACUGCCUGCAUCAGGCCUUCCGUGCACUGCACAAGUUCCAGGAACUCAGCGGCCGCCGUCCUCAGCCCUGGGAUCCUGUUGAUACAGAGAUGGUGGUGGACCUGGCCCGGGCCCUGGAACCACUGAAGGGGACAGAAGGAGAGCCAUUGGAAGAGCAGCUGGAUGAGGCUCUAGUGCGGACAGUCGCCCUGAGCAGUGCUGGUAGCUUGAGUCCCAUGGCAGCCAUGCUGGGUGCAGUGGCUGCCCAGGAAGUGCUGAAGGCAAUCUCCAGGAAGUUUAUGCCUCUGGACCAGUGGCUGUACUUUGAUGCCCUUGAUUGCCUUCCAGAAGAUGGGGAAUCUUUCCCCAAUCCUGAGGACUAUGCACCGAGAGGCUGCCGCUAUGAUGGGCAAAUCGCAGUGUUUGGGGCUCAUUUUCAGGAGAGGCUGAGCCACCAGCACUACCUCCUGGUGGGCGCUGGUGCCAUUGGCUGUGAGCUGCUCAAAGGCUUUGCCCUAGUGGGCCUGGGGGCCGGAGGCAGUGGGGGCGUGACUGUUGCUGACAUGGACCAUGUGGAGCGCUCCAACCUCAGCCGGCAGUUCCUCUUCAGGCCUCAGGACAUUGGUAGGCUGAAGGCAGAAGUGGCUGCAGAGGCUGCUCACCGCCUAAACUCAGACUUGCUCGUGACCCCGCUCCCCUACCAGCUGGAUCCUACUACAGAGCACAUAUAUGGGGACAACUUCUUCUCCAGUGUGGAUGGUGUGGCUGCCGCCCUGGACAGUUUCCAGGCCCGGCGCUAUGUGGCUGCUCGCUGCACCCACUAUCUGAAGCCACUACUGGAGGCGGGCACAAAGGGCACCUGGGGCAGUGCUUGUGUGUUCGUGCCACACUUGACUGAGGGCUAUAGAGCCCCUGCCUCGGCAGCAGCUUCCGAAGAUACCUCUUACCCCAUCUGUACUGUACGGCACUUCCCCAGCACAGCUGAGCACACCUUGCAGUGGGCCCGGGAUGAGUUUGAGGGACUUUUCCGUCUGUUUGCUGAGACCAUCAACCGUCACCAACAGGCACUCACUCCUCCAGCAGACUUGGAUGGGCCACAAAUGCUGAACCUGCUGCAAGUGGUGCUGGGUGUUCUGAGAGAGCGUCCACAGACCUGGCGAGACUGCGUGGUGUGGGCCCUUGGCCACUGGCAACUACGCUUCCAUUAUGGCAUCGAACAGUUACUGAGGCACUUCCCACCUGAUAAAGUGUUGGAGGAUGGAACUCCUUUCUGGUCGGGUCCCAAACAAUGUCCCCAGCCCUUGGAGUUUGAUGCCAGCCAAGACAUGCACCUCCUCUUCGUGCUGGCUGCUGCCAACCUGUAUGCCCAGAUGCAUGGGCUGCCUGGCUCACAGGACCAGACUGCACUCAAAGACCUGCUGCAGUUGCUACCACUGCCUGAUCCCCAGUACUUGGCUCCCAUUUUUGCCAGUGACUUGGAGCUGACUUUGGCUUCUGCUGAGUUUGGCCCUGAGCGGUUGAAGAAACUACAUGAAGCCCUGGAAACCUGGCGCAUGGGUGCUCCCCUGAAACCCCUGAUGUUUGAGAAGGACGAUGACAGCAACUUCCAUGUGGAUUUUGUGGUCGCAGCAGCUAGCCUGCGAGCUCAGAACUAUGGGAUCCCACCAGCCAACCGUGCCAAGAGCAAACAAAUUGUGGGCCGGAUUAUCCCAGCCAUUGCCACCACUACAGCAGCUGUGGCUGGCCUGGUGUGCCUGGAGCUGUAUAAGGUGGUGGGAGGGCCUCGGCCCCUCACUGCCUUUCGCCACAGCUAUCUGCACCUGGCUGAAAACUACUUUAGCCGCUGGGUACCUAGUGCCCCAGCCAUCCAGAAGUUCCAUGACCUGAAGUGGACCUGUUGGGACCGCCUGGAAGUGCCUGCUGGGCAGCCCAUGAGGACCUUGGAGUCAUUGUUGGCCCAUCUCCAGGAACUACAUGAGCUGAGGGUGAGGAUGCUGCUGCACGGGCCAGCCCUGCUCUACUCGGCAGGAUGGUCGCCUGAAAAGCGGGCCCAUCAUCUCUCCCUCAGGGUGACAGAUCUGGUGCAGCAGGUAACAGGACGAGCACCUGAGCCUGGGCAGCGGGUGCUUGUACUGGAGCUCAGCUUUGAGGGUGAAGAGGAGGACACUGCCUUCCCACCCUUGCACUAUGAGCUGUGAAAAGGCAGCAGCCCCACUAUCCAGCUCUGUCAAGCCCUGCGUCCCAAGCCCACACCGGACUGCAGCCGAGCACCCCACAAGCGUCUUAGCGAGCCACACCCGCUCCCAAGCCUCACCAGUUCCCAGCGGAGCUGGCCAAGAAAGCUGUCAAGCCGAG
Molecule: RNA transcript, 3314 nt
Organism: Sus scrofa (pig)
Lineage: Eukaryota; Metazoa; Chordata; Mammalia; Artiodactyla; Suidae
Gene: UBA7
Gene name: ubiquitin like modifier activating enzyme 7
Source: RefSeq, a predicted model, not a curated record